UUAAGAACACAAUGCUGUUUUGAAAGGUAUCCAGGAACAUUCUUCUCCCCUGCUCCACAUUUGAUGGUGAAUUCAGCAGCAUAGAAGUGAAAGACAGUAGCUACCAGCAUAAAGUAAAGAAGAUACCUUAUCCCCAUCAGUAACUUCACCUGUGAUAUCAAUAUAAAGGUGGACUGUUUCCAGCAGUUACAGGAAAAUCUACAGCAGCAGAUAAGGUAGGUGUGGCAAAGGGGAAAAGCUACAGCAGCAGAUAAGUGAACGCCUCUUUCCUGAGUCUCAAGUUGCCCUUACAUCUUUAUUCAUCGCAGAAAGGGUGGAUAAAAUUCUUCAGGGGGAAGGCGAACAUCCAGAAGUGGUAGUCCAGGUGGACUGUUUCCAGCAGUUACAGGAAAAUCUACAGCAGCAGAUAAGGUAGGUGUGGCAAAGGGGAAAAGCUACAGCAGCAGAUAAGGUGGACUGUUUCCAGCAGUUACAGGAAAAUCUACAGCAGCAGAUAAGUGAACGCCUCUUUCCUGAGUCUCAAGUUGCCCUUACAUCUUUAUUCAUCGCAGAAAGGGUGGAUAAAAUUCUUCAGGGGGAAGGCGAACAUCCAGAAGUGGUAGUCCAGGUGGACUGUUUCCAGCAGUUACAGGAAAAUCUACUGCAGCAGAUAAGGUAGGUGUGGCAAAGGGGAAAAGCUACAGCAGCAGAUAAGUGAACGCCUCUUUCCUGAGUCUCAAGUUGCCCUUACAUCUUUAUUCAUCGCAGAAAGGGUGGAUAAAAUUCUUCA
Callorhinchus milii (elephant shark) is the source of this 769-nucleotide long non-coding RNA. RefSeq lists it as uncharacterized. NCBI's taxonomy places the organism in Eukaryota, Metazoa, Chordata, Chondrichthyes, Chimaeriformes, Callorhinchidae. The record is from RefSeq and is a predicted model, not a curated record. The transcript has 9 exons.